This 529-nucleotide ribosomal RNA is filed under the name uncultured bacterium. Its description in RNAcentral is "bacterial SSU rRNA". It matches the Rfam family "Bacterial small subunit ribosomal RNA", at positions 338 to 849 of the family's 1533-position model. The record is from RNAcentral.
CCUACGGGAGGCAGCAGUGGGGAAUAUUGGACAAUGGGCGAAAGCCUGAUCCAGCCAUGCCGCGUGUGUGAAGAAGGUCUUCGGAUUGUAAAGCACUUUAAGUUGGGAGGAAGGGCAGUAAAUUAAUACUUUGCUGUUUUGACGUUACCGACAGAAUAAGCACCGGCUAACUCUGUGCCAGCAGCCGCGGUAAUACAGAGGGUGCAAGCGUUAAUCGGAAUUACUGGGCGUAAAGCGCGCGUAGGUGGUUUGUUAAGUUGGAUGUGAAAUCCCCGGGCUCAACCUGGGAACUGCAUUCAAAACUGACAAGCUAGAGUAUGGUAGAGGGUGGUGGAAUUUCCUGUGUAGCGGUGAAAUGCGUAGAUAUAGGAAGGAACACCAGUGGCGAAGGCGACCACCUGGACUGAUACUGACACUGAGGUGCGAAAGCGUGGGGAGCAAAACGAGGUAUUAGACUACCCGUGGUACGUCCACGACCGUAAACGNUGUACAACUAGCCGUUGGGAGUCCUUGUAGCUCUUAGUGGCGC